This 32-nucleotide transfer RNA is filed under the name Amorphophallus bangkokensis. RNAcentral's name for it is "Amorphophallus paeoniifolius var. bangkokensis partial tRNA-Leu". Lineage: Eukaryota; Viridiplantae; Streptophyta; Magnoliopsida; Alismatales; Araceae. The record is from RNAcentral.
AAAAUCGUGAUGGUUCAAGUCCCUCUAUCCCC